This 858-nucleotide ribosomal RNA is filed under the name Dothiorella iberica. Its description in RNAcentral is "eukaryotic LSU rRNA". The stretch from base 548 to 701 matches the Rfam family "5.8S ribosomal RNA". Lineage: Eukaryota; Fungi; Ascomycota; Dothideomycetes; Botryosphaeriales; Botryosphaeriaceae. The record is from RNAcentral.
CCUUGAAUUACGCCCUCGCAAGAGGGAGAUGCCCAACGACUGUAAACAAAUGGGACGCGUAAGUUGGCCCUCGUGGCCGGCGACACUUUCGAAUUGCGGGGAUACCCUGAGAGCUCUGCCUACCAACCCGGGGGGAAACCCACCGGGGGCCCGUGCUAACAACACGGGGCGGUAAAAACGGUCAGAGAUUGGGCAAUCGCGCAGCCAAGCCCCUAACUCCAGGCCCGCCUGGACACGGGGAAGGUUCACAGACUAAGUGGAAGUGGGUGCGGCCGCUCGGCCGUGCUUAAGAUAUAGUCGGGCCCUCAGCGAAAGCUGGGGGGUAAGUCACUGCAAAAUGGCGAUCAACCGUUCCGUAGGUGAACCUGCGGAAGGAUCAUUACCGAGUUGAUUCUGAGCUCCGGCUCGACUCUCCCACCCUUUGUGUACCUACCUCUGUUGCUUUGGCGGGCCCGCGGUUCGGCCUCGUGCCGUCCAGCACCCGCCAGAGGACCACAAAACUCCAGUCAGUGAACGUCUCAGUCUGAAAAACAAGUUAAUAAACUAAAACUUUCAACAACGGAUCUCUUGGUUCUGGCAUCGAUGAAGAACGCAGCGAAAUGCGAUAAGUAAUGUGAAUUGCAGAAUUCAGUGAAUCAUCGAAUCUUUGAACGCACAUUGCGCCCCUUGGUAUUCCGGGGGGCAUGCCUGUUCGAGCGUCAUUUCAACCCUCAAGCUCUGCUUGGUAUUGGGCUCCGUCCUCUGGGACGCGCCUCAAAGACCUCGGCGGUGGCGUCUUGCCUCAAGCGUAGUAGAAAACACCUCGCUUUGGAGCGCACGGCGUCGCCCGCCGGACGAACCUUUGAAUUUUUCUCAAGG